AGUCCCUUGCGGCCCGGUUCAGUCGAUCAUCGCAUGCUGAACCGACCACUCGCCGGGGACG
This 61-nucleotide non-coding RNA is filed under the name Ectopseudomonas mendocina ymp. RNAcentral describes it as "gabT RNA". It matches the Rfam family "gabT RNA". Lineage: Bacteria; Pseudomonadati; Pseudomonadota; Gammaproteobacteria; Pseudomonadales; Pseudomonadaceae. The record is from RNAcentral.